This 434-nucleotide ribosomal RNA is filed under the name uncultured bacterium. RNAcentral describes it as "partial 16S ribosomal RNA". It matches the Rfam family "Bacterial small subunit ribosomal RNA", at positions 29 to 508 of the family's 1533-position model. The record is from RNAcentral.
AACGAACGCUGGCGGCAUGCCUAACACAUGCAAGUCGAACGAGACCUUCGGGUCUAGUGGCGCACGGGUGCGUAACGCGUGGGAACCUGCCCUUAGGUUCGGAAUAACUCCCCGAAAGGGGUGCUAAUACCGGAUAAUGUCUUCGGACCAAAGAUUUAUCGCCUUUGGAUGGGCCCGCGUUGGAUUAGCUAGUUGGUAGGGUAAAAGCCUACCAAGGCGACGAUCCAUAGCUGGUCUGAGAGGAUGAUCAGCCACACUGGGACUGAGACACGGCCCAGACUCCUACGGGAGGCAGCAGCGGGGAAUAUUGGACAAUGGGCGAAAGCCUGAUCCAGCAAUGCCGCGUGAGGGAUGAAGGCCUUAGGGUUGUAAAGCUCUUUUACCCGGGAUGAUAAUGACAGUACCGGGAGAAUAAGCUCCGGCUAACUCCGUGC